Hypomesus transpacificus is the source of this 354-nucleotide long non-coding RNA. RefSeq lists it as uncharacterized. The transcript is spliced from 3 exons. The record is from RefSeq and is a predicted model, not a curated record. Lineage: Eukaryota; Metazoa; Chordata; Actinopteri; Osmeriformes; Osmeridae.
CAAAGUAAAAGACACAAUGACAUAAACAUUUUGGGAGAAAGAGGAAGAGAGUGAAAGCCAGAAAGAUUUCCUACAAGAAGAAUGUGAGACUAUUUUUUCUUGUUCGUACAUAUCUUCAGAAGGUUGGACUGUGCCAUAAACAGUACACAAUGGGACUGUGCAUUGACAAGGCUGCCUGAAGACUGGCUACUGGGACAUGGAGUGGGUCUGGAUGGCAGUGAAGUUACAACUUUGUGGCCAGGAACAGCAGUGAACUUUCUGUUCUUCAGGGAGAGACCCUUAAGAAGGGUCCUCUCGCUCCUCCAGCCAAGCGCUUCUCCUAUGCCCCAUCAAGUCCGUCCAGGCCAAGUCCCC